UACGUAGGUGGCAAGCGUUGUCCGGAAUUAUUGGGCGUAAAGCGCGUGUAGGCGGCCCGGUAAGUCCGCUGUGAAAGUCCAGGGCUCAACCCUGGGAUGCCGGUGGAUACUGUCGGGCUCGAGUCCGGAAGAGGCGAGUGGAAUUCCCGGUGUAGCGGUGAAAUGCGCAGAUAUCGGGAGGAACACCUAUGGCGAAGGCAGCUCGCUGGGACGUUACUGACGCUGAGACGCGAAAGCGUGGGGAGCAAACAGG
Molecule: ribosomal RNA, 253 nt
Filed under: uncultured bacterium
Lineage: Bacteria
Description: partial 16S ribosomal RNA
Rfam family: Bacterial small subunit ribosomal RNA
Source: RNAcentral